RNAcentral lists this transfer RNA (85 nucleotides) under Candida albicans. RNAcentral describes it as "tdbR00000618". It matches the Rfam family "tRNA". Rfam says of the family: Transfer RNA (tRNA) molecules are approximately 80 nucleotides in length. The record is from RNAcentral. Lineage: Eukaryota; Fungi; Ascomycota; Pichiomycetes; Serinales; Debaryomycetaceae. RNAcentral also lists the same sequence under 1 other name.
GAUACGAUGGCCGAGUGGUUAAGGCGAAGGAUGCAGGUUCCUUUGGGCAUUGCCCGCGCAGGUUCGAACCCUGCUCGUGUCGCCA